AAAAAAAAAAAAAAAAGUGGGGGUUAAAUUUCAAAAUUUGGAUUUUGAGGGCAUUUUAAUCAAAUAACCCUAAAAAAUUAAAGAUAUGUUGCCGGGGAUUAAGGAGACUUCGUUUGGUCCUAGCCCCUUGUAAAAUUAAAGAUAUUUUUGUAUGAUGUCUUGUCCAUCAUAAAAAAAUUACUCAGAGAUGGUGUCGUUUGGUAAAGAGACCGAGCUCGUGGAUGGAAGCUCUGGCCCACAUCCGAAGAUUUGAUAACGACGUAUAAAGUAUAAACUACCCUAGGCCUCCGCUUAUAACUUCAUUUGUGCGUUCCUUCCCAGAAUUUGAUUCAAGAUUAGCCCUACAGCCUUUUCAGCUGAUCCAAUUUCAUAGAUUACAUGGAUGCGCCAGUUCUUUUGCUUCUUCUCGCUCUGCUUCUAUCUUCUCCACUUCCAUCGUCUACCCUCGACAGUUUGAGUCAAGGCUCAUCCCUAUCAGUUGGGAAGCCUGAACAAGUUUUAAUUUCACAAAGUGGAAUCUUUUCAGCCGGCUUCUACCCCGUCGGUGACAAUGCUUAUUGUCUUGCCAUAUGGUUCACCAAACCAUCCUACGACGGCAAACAUACGGUUGUUUGGAUGGCAAACCGAAACCAACCAGUUAAUGGGAAUUUCUCAAAGCUUUCCCUGCUAAAAAAUGGUGAACUUAUCUUAACAGAUGCCGGGCGGUUCAUAGUUUGGACCACAAAGGCGGUUGGGGUUUCUCCGGUGCGAUUACAUCUCUUCAACACUGGUAACCUUGUGUUGCGUACCUCGGAUGGUGUUAUUCAAUGGCAAAGUUUCGAUUCACCAACAGAUACCCUUCUCCCUCACCAGCCACUCACCAGAAAUACGAGACUUGUCUCUUCAAGAACCAAAACCAACUUUUUCUCAGGGUUUUAUAAGCUCUAUUUUGACAACAGUAACGUCCUCAGUCUUGUGUUCGAUGGGCCAAACGUUUCAAGCGUUUACUGGCCCCCAUCGUGGCUUGUAAGCUGGCAGGCGGGCAGAUCGGCAUACAAUAGCAGCAGAAUUGCAUUACUAGAUUACUUUGGCUAUUUUUCUUCAUCCGACGGUUUUAAGCUUCAGUCCUCGGAUUUUGGUGAGAGAGUCCGGCGAAGAUUGACCCUGGAUAUUGAUGGCAACUUACGAUUAUACAGUUUUGAGGAAGAGAGAAAUAAGUGGGUUGUUACUGGGGAAGCCAUCACGGAACAAUGCAAAGUUCAUGGAAUAUGCGGACCCAACAGUGUUUGUACCUAUGUGCCCGGUUCUGGGAGUGGAAGGAGAUGCUCUUGCAUACCUGGAUAUGAGGUGAAAAAUCGCACUGACCGAACUUAUGGAUGCAUACAAAAAUUCAAUCUUUCUUGCAACUCACAGAAGGUUGGUUUCCUCCUACUCCCACACGUGGAGUUCUACGGCUAUGAUUAUGACUGUUACCCCAAUUACACCUUACAGAUGUGUAAAAAACUGUGCUUGGAAAAAUGCGGUUGCAUAGGAUUUCAAUACAAGUACGAUCAUAUAUGUUAUCCUAAGCGGAUGUUACUCAACGGAUACCGCUCACCUAGUUUUGAAGGACAUAUAUAUCUAAAAUUGCCCAAAGCUAGUCUCCUUUCCUAUGACAAACCCGUUGAGGAAUUCAUGUUAGAUUGCUCGGAAAACCGCACAGAGCAGCUAGUAAGAACCUAUUCAAAAGCCCAUGAAAAUGGAGUGUUAAAGUCCAUCCUCUGGUUUGUCUGUGCAAUUGGAGGAGUUGAGAUGAUUUGCAUCUGUGUGGUGUGUUGUUUCUUGAUGAUGAAGGCCCAGCAAAACACCAAUACAGAUCCGCCAGGCUACAUUUUAGCCGCCACGGGAUUCAGAAAAUUCACCUAUACUGAGCUGAAGAAAGCAACACGGGGUUUCAGUGAGGAGAUUGGAAGAGGAGGAGGUGGGAUUGUAUAUAAAGGUGUCUUGUCAGACCACCGAGUAGCAGCCAUCAAGCAGCUCAAUGGAGCUAACCAAGGAGAAGCUGAAUUUUUGGCAGAAGCAAGCACCAUUGGGAGGCUUAACCACAUGAACUUGAUAGAGAUGUGGGGUUAUUGCUUUGAGGGGAAGCACAGGCUCUUGGUUUAUGAAUACAUGGAGCAUGGAUCACUAGCACAAAACCUCACUUCCAAUACACUUGAUUGGCAGAAGAGGUUCAAUAUUGCGGUGGGCACAGCAAAAGGUCUGGCUUAUUUACACGAAGAGUGCUUGGAGUGGGUUCUACACUGCGAUGUGAAGCCUCAAAACAUACUCCUAGACUCUAAUUAUCAGCCAAAGGUGGCAGACUUCGGCCUGUCAAAGUUACAGAACAGAGGAGGAAUCAACAAUUCAAGAUUGUCGAGGAUCAGAGGAACGAGAGGUUACAUGGCUCCAGAGUGGGUUUUGAACCUCCCCAUCACGUCCAAAGUAGACGUUUAUAGCUAUGGUAUUGUGGUUCUGGAGAUGAUUACCGGUCUAAGAAGUGUUGCAAAUGCCAUCCACGGUACAGAUGGCAUAGGGGAACGUCAGAGUUUGGUGGCAUGGGUGAAAGGGAAGAUGAAUAGUGCAACUGCAGUUGCUUCGUGGAUUGAAGAAAUCCUAGACCCGUCGAUGGAAAGCAAAUAUGACAUGGGUGAGAUGGAAAUUCUAGUAUCAGUGGCUCUGCAAUGUGUGGAAUUGGAUAAAGAUGAAAGACCCACCAUGAGUCAGGUGGUCGAGCUGCUUCUCCGCCGUGGAUGUUGAUACAAUUAUCACUACUGAUAAAUUAAUACCUCCUAUGGGGCCAGCCAAGUAUGGCAGCUUUCUGAACCUAUUCCGCCCAUUUAUGAUAUUCGUAAAAAAAACAUUGUUAUUUUUGCUACCCUCCUCAAUAAAGAUUCUACUAAUAAAUAUUAUAUAGAAUUUUAUUCCCAAUAUCUCUCUUUGGUGCUCUUAUCUUAUUUUAUAAAAUCAUUUUUAAAAUUUGUUGAAUUUGAUAUAUUUUACCCUCACAUAAUUUGUAGCAGGAAAAGUUUCUCUCUUCAUCAUACAACAAAUUCUUUUCUAUGUAGUAUACAUAUAUGAAAGCUAUAAAUGGCUUUAGCUUUAAUUGAAAUCAUAUAAUUUCUCAUUGAAUCUAAUCUAACGUGACUUUAAAAAUUUUCAAAAUAUAAAUCAAUUCCUCCUGCUUAAACAUAACACUAUAAUUGCAUCUGUGCCUUGGUGCUUUCUGUGUUAGUGAAUGAAUUAGUUUAAAUAUUGACUUUUUAGACAACAAUUUUAAAGAGCUCAUGCGUCACACUAUCAAUUCAACCUUCUUUGAUAUUUAUUUAUUUAUUUAUUUUAAUUACCUUUCGAUGGUAUCAUUGCUUGGAAAAUUUUGAUGAACGUGAAAGGGAAAUGGAAAAUCGUGGGGCACACGUCCAUUAUGGAGUCAAAAUCUUUGAAAGAUGUAAAAUUGUCGUGCAAUUCAAUCUAAUGUAGAUGGACAAAAAUGCCAUUUUAUUGAUCAAGCAUAGAUGAAUGUGGAAAUGACGCAACGCAUCAAAUCAGACUUGGCGGAUGACAUGUAAAAUGCAAAAUUAAAUAAUGAUUGAAAAUCAAAUGAAUGAGCCACCCAGCAAAUGUCUAGUUUCAAGUCUUUCAUUUUUUUUUUCAACUUAAGACCUCUUUUUGGAAAUUUAUUAUUAAAAAUAUUUUAAUCUCUAAUUUUUCAUAAGUUUCUUUUCAUAAACAUGUUGACUGGCUUCAGGGAAAUAAACAAAAAUAUAUUUUUAAAUUAUUUAAUCUAACUUUAAAAAGAUAAGUAAAAUUUUAUUAAAAUAAUUUAUUAAUUUUAAAUUUAUAUUUUAUUUUCAUUCAUUUGACAUACCUUCAAUAAUUAGUAUAAAAUUAAUAUAAAUGUUUUAUAUAAUCCGUUUACAUGCAUGGUAUAUUAUGUACAAACAGGAACAAAAUGAAUGAGGCACUGUAUGUGACAAAUAAAUACAUUUUUAUAAAAUUUAAAUUUAAUUUUAUAGUAUAUGACAUGGAUUCUGGCGUCAUCUUCCACAUCACUGAACUUCAUCUUCACCUAUUUUCAUCAUUCUAUGUUUCCAACGCUUCCCACUAUGAACGUCUCUAGAAAAAACUGCCCGAUGUGGCUCUCCUCUUGGCUCUACCACAGUUAAGAUUUUCGGCUUGAUGUCGUGUACCUGCAAUUUACACGAUGUGUUCUCAUUCGAUGGCGAAUUCACUUUAAAUUUAUUCGAUAAAAAUAUGGUUUUUAGAUUAAACUGUUUAUUUUUUAUUUUUUUUAAGGGAAAACAAGAUAAGAAAUAAAAUCUUAAGUGUGACUCUUUAUUUGGGAAAGACGGUCUGUGGAAAACUAAAAUCAAGUUUGAGGGUCAGGUUAUUUAUUGGAAAGGUAUGAUAAAAGACUGUAACACUCCUCUAAAUCCCUAAAAACGGGUCUCUAUUAAAUAAGGUGAAACAAGUGUUACAAUUGAUAAGGAAAUUAAUAGAUACCAAUAAAAUGAUCAAAUAAUAAAACGAAUCAUAAAUAAGAAUAAGCAAAGUGAGAGUGAGAUCAUACCUUAGCAGCAAGUAAUAAUGCGUUAUCAUGAAAACAAUAUUAGUUCAAGUAUAAAAUUAUCACAUGCAUAUUAAAGAGUAAAACAAAGAUCAAGUAAUAUUCAUUAAACAUAACAAUUAACAAUCAAAAGAGAAAACUCAUAUAUAGGGCCCUACCAAAGUCCAAUUGAUUUUGCAUGAAUAAAUCCAACAAAUUUCAUUAUUUUAGAAUUAUAAAAAUCAUAUUCAUACUUAUUUAAAAUCAAGAAAAUCGAAAAAUUAUUUAAAGAUCAAAAAAAAUUUGUGAAAGUACUUACCUGAAGGGAAAUGUAACAAGUUUAUUAAAAACGAGAUUUUUGGAAAUUAUUUGAAAAUUGAAAUCUUAAAAAUUAAAUUUAAAAAUUGAAAUUUAAAAAAAAAAAAUUGAAAAUUGGAGUUUUGAAAAUUGGAAUUUUGAAAAAUUAUUUGAAAAUGAGAGUUUUGAAAAUUGGAAAUUUGGAAGAGUAUUUGAAAAUGGGAAUUUUGGAAAGUGAUUUGAAAAUGGGAAUUUUGAAAAAUGAUUUGAAAAUGGAAGUUUUGAAAAUUGGAAUUUUGAAGAACUAUUUGACAAUGAAAUUUUUAAAAAUUAUUCGAGAAUGGAAGUUUUGAGAAUUGAAGUUUUGAAAAUUAGAAUUUUGAAAAUUAUUUAAGAAUUAGAGUUUUGAAAAUUAUUUGAAAUUUGAAAAUUUGAAAAUUAAAUUUAGAAAUUGAAGUUUUGAAAAUUAAAUUUGAAAAUUGAAGUUUUGAAUAUUGGAAUUUUGAAAAUUAAAUUUAGAAAUUAGAGUUUUGAAAAUUGGAGUUUUGAAAUUUAUUUUAAAAUUAUUUGAGAAUUGAAGUUUUGAAAAUUAUUUGAAAAUUAAAUUUGAAAAUUGGAAUUUUGGAAAAUUAUUUGAUGAUUGAAGUUUUAAAAAUUAAAUCUGGAAAUUGAAAUUUUGGAAAAUUAUUCGAGAAUAAAAGUUUUGAGAAUGAGAUUUCUUAAAAAUUAAAUUUGAAAAUUAGAAUUUUAAAAAAUUAUUUGAGAAUUGAAUUUUUAAAAAUUAAAAUAAAUUUUGAAGGUCGGAACAAAUCAUCUCAUUGACCUUAUCCCCGUUCUUGUAAAUCUUGAAGGUUGGAACACUUUUUAUGCUCUCAGUUUUUGCUACUGUUGGGCUCUCCUCCACAUCCAUCUUGAGAAAUUUUAUGGAUUGGUAUUGAACACAGAGCUUAUCCAUGAUGGGGGAGACCUGUUCACACUGGUAAUUGGAUGCCACUUUGAAGUGAACCACCGAAACACCAGGUGAAGAUAUUGCAGUUUUAAACUGGUCGACACCAGAAACCUCCUCCACUUCACCACCAAACUUCACACUAUGAGUUUCAUCCUCCCAUGAUUUUGACAAUGCAGCUUGUGCCUGUGAUAGAGAUUCAACAACCUCGACGUCUCCAGGAAGUUCCCUUCUCAAGACCUCAUAAUCUUUUACUACAUCUGCCCAUCGUCCAAGCUUCCCAUUUGAGACAGCUCUAUGAAGAAGAGCCUUGGUGUAAUUUGGUUGGAUCUUGAGGGCAUGGUUGCAUUCCUCAAUAGAUUUUUCCCAUAAACCAAGUUUAGACCAGCAAACUACUCUAUUGCAAUAUAGAACAGAGUUCGAUGUAUCAUACUUGAGGCCUUCCCCGUAAGCUAAGCAGGCUUCUGAAAAUCUUCCAGAACUAAAGAGUUCAUUGCCAUGGGCCUGCGCUCUUGCCACCAGUUUAACAUUGUUCAGCAAUUUUGCAACUUCAACAUUACUAUAAUCAAUCAACCCCGUCUUCUCUGCUGCCGCAACUUCCCAGUGCCAUCUCAACCUGAGCUCGAACAUAGAGAACAUAGGCUUCAGCAAUCACAUCGAAGAACUUGGUUGAGCGAGAAGGAGAAUAAUGUUCAAAUUUUGGAAUGCUUGAUAGGUAGGAAUCUGCAUCUUCAAUUUGGUGGAGCUUCAACAGGGCCUCUACUCUCCAUGAAAUGAGUUGAGGAUAAGAAUCUGCCCCGCCUGCAUUGGCUCAUCACAUUCCCUUAGUGUACUUUUCCAAUCACCAAUUUUCCAUGCAUCAGCACAUCGGUUCAAAUACUUCUCCAAAGAAAGCAACUUCUGAAGCUCAGAUGGAUCUGGCGGCUGCGCGCCCAGGUAAAAAGAGAUGGCGUCGGGCAAAAUCAACAUGCCCUAACCUGAAAGUGCUCCUCCAAUCUUCCAAAGACCGGUAAACUUCCUUCAUCCUUGCUACCCAUGACUCGCCUCCUGCAACUUCUCUAUCUAAUGCUCAGAUCAUUAUCAUUUGAAGCUCUCUCGUUCCAGUCAUCUCUCUUGCUCUGUUUUUCUGUUUUUCUCCCAAUCCCAAAAAGUCUCUUUCGUUCCUCCUCCUGGUACUCUGUUUCUUUUCGCUUUAAAUCAUCCCCUGUCUCAGUCCAGCUUUUCUUCUCCUAUCAGCUUCCCACCCGUUCCAUUGCUCCUGGUUCAGCAAAGAUGUCACCACCCUCAACCACCACCAUGGCAAGUUGGUAGUCCUUGCCACACGUCCCAGCAUGCAGCUCACCUGGAAAGCCAUCCCCCACUCUAAAUGAAAUGUUCAGCUCUUCUCGGGUGGCCAGCAGGUGGUGAGAAAAAAAAACUUUGGUCCAGAGAGGGGUCUACAGAUGCCUUCGAUCUAUUUCAGGUGGUCGGCUUUGGAGCAUGGAUGGCUGCAGAUCUGCCAAGUUGUUGGCCAUGAAUCUCCUGAAUCCACUUAUUGCUAACCGCUUGUAUUAUUCAACAGUUGAAGGCUGAUUUCAUUGAGUUGAAAGGCCAAUGGGCCAUGGGGAGCAAUGCUUGCUUCACCCAAUUUUUAAAAAUUCAUUUUUAGUAAUACAAAAAAAUUUAUUGUAUGAAGUAUUGAUGUUAUUAUUAUCUUUUUAUAUUGAUUUUAUUUUUUAUAUUUUUUUUCCUUAGGAUUUUCUUUCUUUUCACUUUUUCUCCCUCUUUUCUUUUAUUUAUAUUUUCUCAUAAUCAAAUAUCGACUUAGAAUUUAAUUGCAAACAAAGUGUUAUGUAAACAAUUAAUAUGGUCUUGCUAUUUUGCUUUUAUGGCCAUUAAAUUUAAGGACUUUGUGUGAUGGCAAUAGGGUGAUUUUUUUAAGGUACCUGUCCACCCUGGGCUUAAAAUUUAAAUAAAUAGGUUUGGAGCAGGUUUGAGUUUUUUUAAACUCAAGACGAGUUUGGAUAUUGUCCCACCCCAAUCAUAUACAAAAUUAAUUUAAUUUUUUAUUUUUCCAUUUUUAAUAAUAAUAAUAAUAAAAUACUUUUUAAUAAAAUAAGUUAUAAAAAAUUAUAAUACUUUAAUUAUGUAUAUAAUAUAUAUAUAUUUAUAUAAUUAAAUAAUUUAAAAAAAUUAAAAAAAAAAGUUUAAACAAAGCGGGAUAAGACAAGUAUGAGAAUUUCUCAUACCUAUCAUACCCUGCCUAUCACAUUUAAUUUUUUUAAUAGAACAAGGUUACAACAUGGGCUACCUAUUCUAAACCUGUCUCAUUAUCAUCCCUACAUGUGUUUGCAUGUAUAUAUGAUACAAGUGGAAAGUUUGAACUAUGAUAUUGAAAAUUCAAUUCACCAUUUAUUUUGUAAUUAUACAUCCAAAUAUAAGCAUGGAAAGGGGCGAAUUGACAUAAUAGAAGGCCUAACUGCUCAUGUUUUGUAUUUAUUUAAAUUAAUAUUUAUUAAUCAUUUAUUUAUGUAAUAAAAAAUUUGUAAUUCAAAAUUUGAUUUUACUAAGUGAAGUACCUGAUGACCAGAACUGGAGCAACCUAAAGAAAGAGAAGAACAAAAAAUACACCACGACAUAUCCCAAAAGCCUAAUGGCCCAUCCCCUAAAAAUACUAGCUUUAUAAUUAUUAUCGUAAAAGAAAGAGAUGAACAAGUGAUUUUUCGUCAUAUAAUGUUAAAAAAUUAAAGUAUUAAUUUUUUUUUUCUACUGAAAAUAAUUUAAUUUCAUAUUUCUAAUUGUUUUUUUUUUACUUUAUGUCACUUAUUAUUUAUUUUUAAAAUAUUUUUACUAAAUUUAAAAAAUAAAAAAAAAUUAAAUAUUAAAAUUAAUCUAUUGAUUUUUCUUUACUUAAUAAAAAUAAAAUAUUUAAAAAAUAAAUAAUUUAAUAAUUAAUAUUAUUAAACACUAUUUAAUUUUAAGUUAAAUUUGGAUUUAAGUCUAAAAAAAAUACCACUUAAAUGUCUUCAUUGCAACGAUGGACAUUAUUAACUCUACUUUUUUAUAAAAUCUUUUAUUUUAGGAAAUUUUAACUUCCAAAUGAAGUAGUUACGAGAAAAAUAACUAUUGUGGUUGAAUUUAUUUGAAAUAAAUAAACCAUAAAAAAAACACUUGAAUGGAUUAAGGACCGAUUUUUUACGCCAAGGUGGUGGUGAUAUAUUGAUUUGAGUAAGAAUUUUAUAAUUUCCCAAAAGAAAGAUAAAGAGGAAAAGCAACAUUUAUUAAAAGAUAGAUACAUUAGAAUAUCAUAUUCAAAUUUAGUAUUUUUCUUUUCUCUUCUUUAUAAAACUAAAUAAUAGAAAUCAAAUGCUUUUACCAACUUCUCAUACUGCACCGUUUCGUUUUUCACUUCAUCUAAUUUUACCUUCAAUUCAUUUUUUUCCCUAUUUUAUUUCUUGAAACAUGUAUUCACUAAAACCUCUGUACCAAUGUUUCAGGACAUGGAGAGGAAGCCAUCCUGCUCCGGCCUGUCCUCCGGGCACAUAAGCUUCUCAACUAUUUGGCUCAUCGUGGGUCUUGAGUCCCUGUCUCCCUUCACACAUUCCAAGGCAACUCCAAUCAGAAUUUCCAUCUGGCGCAUGUUGCAUUCGCCUUGCAUCACAGGGUCCAGGAUGUCUUCAAUCCACGACCCCCUGACACCAAUCCUAUUCAUUCGAUCCCUCACCCAUUUAAUCAACCCAGGCUGCUCUGUCUCUCCUUGGGCAUCAGUAUCGGGGAUAGCAGAUGGGCUCUUCCCUGUCACCAUCUCCAAAACCACGAUUCCAUAGCCAUAAACGUCUACCUUGGAGGUUAUGGGAAGGUUGAAUACCCAUUCAGGAGCCAUGUAUCCUCUGGUUCCUCUGACCCUCGAGAAACUUGAAUUGCCAAGCCCUCCUCUGUUACGCAGUUUCGACAUCCCAAAAUCUGCCACUUUUGGCUGGUAAUUAGAGUCCAAGAGUAUGUUCUGAGGCUUUACGUCACAGUGCAGAACCCACUCCAAGCAUUCUUCGUGUAAAUAAGCUAGGCCUCUGGCCGUGCCAAGCGCUAUUUGGAACCUCUUCUCCCAAUCAAGAGUAUUGGACGAUAGCUUUUGUGCCAAGGAUCCAUGUUCCAUGUACUCAUACACCAACAGCCGGUGCUUCCCCUCUAUGCAAUAUCCCCACGUCUCUAUUAAGUUCAUGUGAUUAAGCCUUCCAAUGGUGCUCACUUCUGCUAGAAAUUCUGCUUCUCCUUGAUUGGCUUCUUUGAGGCACUUGAUUGCUGCCACUCGACGAUCAAGCAAUACACCUUUAUAUACCAUUCCUCCACCUCCUCUUCCAAUCUCUUGGGUGAAACCUCGCGUGGCCUUCUUCAACUCUGCAUAACUGAAUCUUUUAAACCCGUUUGCAGCGAGGAUGUAACCUUGCAUAGUUGAGACUGGAUCAUGGUGUACCCUAAAUAGGAAAAGCCAUACCAGCAAGACAAUUGCCGUCUCUAGAACUCCCAGUCCAUAGGCAAACCAUAGCAAAAACUUCAAAAACUUCAAUGUUGUAUCUAGCUGUAUAUAACGAGUGUUGCCUGAACAAUUUAUGGUGAAUUCUUCAAGGGGAUCAUAUCUGGGAAAGAGACUAGCUUUAGGCAGUUUUAGAUACAAGGUUUCAGGAUAAUUUGGCGAACUGAAUCCAUUAAGCAAGAGGGCCACUGGGUAACAAUUGUAAACGCCGUCCCCAAAAUUUAGCAGGAAGGCCUUGCAUUUGCACAACUGUAAGCAUAGAUUUUCACAGCUUUCAUAGGUGUAAUUGGGGUAGUGACCAUAGUCAUAGCCGUAGAGUUGAACAUGAGGGAGUGGGAAGAAGCCCACCUCAGUUUGGUUACAAGCGAUAUCAGUUUCUGGUGCGCACCCAUAAGACCAGUCAGUUGAAUUUACAAUCUUGAAUCCAGGCAUGCAAGAGCAUCCUCUGCCAUAAGCAGGGGUGUAACUGCAGAGACUGUUGGGUCCGCAGAUGCCAUGAAUCUGGCAUGGUUGGGAGAUAGCCUGCCAUGAAACCGACCAGGUUCCUCUCGUUUCUUCUAGACUAUACAUUCUAAGAUUGCCAUCGAAAUCGAGGGUCAAUCUUCUCUGAGGCCCCGCACCAAAAUCCGCUGACCGAAAUUCCAAAUCAUCUGAUGCUCUAUAAUAACCCAAAGAAUCGAAUACUGCGAUUCGACUGUUGUUGUAUGUGCUCCUCGCAGCCUCCCAGGUCACCCGGCUUGGGUCUGGCCAGUAGAGGCUGGAAACCACAGGACCAUUGAAGAGAAGGCGGAUGACGUUAUCAAUGUCAAAAAAUAGCUUAUAAAAACCAGAAGAAUAGUUGCUUUGGCUUCUUGAUGAGAUAAGGCUGGUAUCUUUUGUCAGUAUCUGGUGAGGAAGAAGGGUAUCUGUGGGUGAGUCAAAGCUCUGCCAAAUCACCGUCUUCUCCCAAGCAUAUAGAACAAGAUUGCCGGUGUUAAGGAGCUGUAAUCUCACAUACGAGGUUGAAACGGUGUUGGUCAUCCAAACCAUGAUUUUGCCAGCAUCAGUUAAGAGGAGAUUGCCAUUCCUCAACAAAGAAAGCUUGGAGCCUCUACCGUUGACCGGUUGGUCACGGUUCGCCAUCCAAACUGUGGUUGCACCCCAUGAUUUUGUGAACCAUAUGGCGAAGCAGAAAGUGUUGUAACUGUUGUUGCCGACCUGAUAAAACCCAGCAGAGAAUAUACCAUUUGCUGAAAUGAGAACAUCAUUUGAUUUCUCCACGGAAAGAGAUGAGCCUUCGCUCAGAGUAUCAUACGUUUCAGAUGAAGAUGGAUAGAAAGUUAAUAGCAAAGCCAAAACAAAGAAACCAACUGUCCUAUCCAUGAGUUUUGGGAUAUGGUUUAUGUGCUCUGUUUCCUGAUCAGAUAUUUGCAAUGGAGAAUGCAAGUGUAUGGUGCUACCAGAGUUUAGAAAAUAAAUGUUUACAUCAUGACUCCUUGACUGGGUGAACGGGGAAAAUUUACAUUGCCCCUCGGGCCAAGUUUUGCUUGCGCCAUCGUGUUUGGUUUCUAAAAACAUUUCAUGUCAAUGUCAAAGACUCAAAAUAAUGGGAUGAAGACCCGGGACUCUUUGACUGGCCUGGUGGCCUUCACGAGUUUUAUUUAGUGGUGACGUAAAACUGGGGUCUGGUCUGAUGUUGAUUGGCCCAAGCAGGGAAAGAUCAAAUGGGAAACGACUUGUGGGCUGACUUUCCAUGCACCAAGGAACACUUCAUAGAAAUUAAUCGAGCCAUUGAAUUUCAUAAGUUCCCUCUUUGCAGAAUUUUGAAUAUUUAAAAAGAAUCUUAAUUUUUAAAACCUAAAUUUAUGGUUAAUUUUUAAAUGCUUAAUUAAUGCGAUUCAAGGUGUAAAACAUUUUCUUUUAUUGAAUCAAGAUUUAAUUUAAAAUAAAAUUGUUGGUAUUGCUCCCUCUUUUUUCUCUUUUUCUUAUUCAAUCUCUAUUUAUAGUUUCACAAUAGUAGUUUUCUUGCCACCUUUGUGGGUCAAGAGGAACAAAUGCUAAGAAUUGUAUUCAUCUGCUUUCUUGCAACACUCACUAAAUGUAAUAUUGUAAUAAGAUAUGGAACCUGAUUUUGAUUAUGUUGGUAUAAUUAUUGAUACAGUUGAUGUCUCAAAGUCAUUUUGGCAAGGACUUUCAGGGUAUGGUCGAAUCAAGCUUGUAUAACUAUUAAUUAUUAAUAUGGUUAAAAGAUUUCUUCGACAUUUUGGUGCUCAUAUAAUUAAUAUUAUUACAGCUGAGUCCUCCAAAAUCCCAUUUUUCUAAUUUUGACUUUUCAAGGUAUGAUAAGCAAAAUUUAAAAGGUUGUGACUCUUUAACAUUCCCUUUUGCCACAUGGUGCUUUAAGGUUGCUUUCUAUCAUUUCUCCAAUGGCUACUCAUGGGGAGCGGACAUUAAAACCUGUGAAUCGAUGACAACAAUUUUUCUUCUUUAGAGUCUCUUGUUUUUCCCUUUGCAAUAGUAUUUUUCUACUUAAGAGGCAACAUCGCUAAUUGGAGUAUAGUUAUUUACUCUAUGCCUUAUUAGGAUCUUGAUUUUAGGAUUUUUCGAACCUUGAUUUUAGAAUCCUUGAUUUUAGGAAUCUUUUUUUUUUCUCUUCACCGUUUUUCUCUUAUUUUGCAUCUUUCUUUUUUUGAAUGGUAACUUCUUGUAUAUAUAUGCAUGUAGAACAACAGAAUAAAUAUGCAAAAAUUUUGUCAUUCCAAGUCUAAAGUUUUCAUGGUAUCAAAACGCACUUGUUCUUACAUUUUUCUUGUUGACCAUCUCUGUCACUCUUACAUUUUUCUUCUUGUUCUUUGUUUGCUUUUCACCAUACAAAUGGUUCUACUAAUCACCAGAAAAUAGAUGAAAUUGUAGAUAAAAAUAAUUUAUCUCAUCUUCAUUGUUCUGACAACCCAAGAUCCAUGAUUGUACCCUAAUCUUUGACUGGUGAAAACUACUCAACCUAGAGCAAAGCUAUGCUUAUGGCCUUAAGUGCAAAGAACAAAGUAAGCUUCAUCAAUAGAUCGAUGAUGAAACCUUCUUUAAUGAAUUCAACCUAUGGUCUAUGGAAUUGCUAUAACAACAUGGUAAAAUCUUAGAUCCUUAACUUUUUACCUUAAGAUUUAGCCAAUAGUGUCAUUUACAUAACUAUAAGAGCCGAAAUUUGGUCUAAUCUCAAGGAGCCUUUUUUUAAACUCAAUGCCCCUCAUUUCUUUCAAAUUGAGAGAGAUAUUAUCUCUUUAAGACAAUAACAUUGUUUUGUUGUUACCUAUUAACUGAAAGCUUUAUGGGAUAAACUUACAAAUUUGCUAUUUUUUCCCACAUGUACGUGUUCAACAAAAAAAAAAAGUGUUGGCAGAUUAUUAAUAGCAACAUCAUCUUAUUUAGUUCUUAAUGAGUAUGAAUGAAUUAUAUUUGUUAUACAUGGACAAAUUCUACUUAUAGACCCUCUUCAUAAUUGAAACAACUAUAUUAUCUCAUUUUACAAAAAAAAAAAAAAAAAAAGGGUCAAGGAAUGUGGUUGUGAUAGGACAACCAAGCAUUGAAACCAUGCCUUAGUAGCACAACAAUUAUAUCAUAUGGCAAAGAAACCAAAUAAUAAGGAUCCUAAGUCACAAAAGGAGUGACAUUUUUGCUCCCAUUGUGGUUAGGUUGGACACACAAUUGACUGAUGUUAUAAGUUUCAUGGAUACCUUCUCAAACAUCAUAUUCACAAAGAGACUUCUCAACCUAUUGCAAAUCAAAUAAGUCAACAAUCAUUUUCCAUAAGCAACACUUCUAUUACCUCUCCUUUCAUUAUAGAACAAUUCCAACAACUCUUUGCUCUUCUCAAGCCUCAAGUCAUGACAAAUCAAGUAGGUAGUGGCUCUUCCACUACUCAACUCUCAAGUAUUUGUUUAAACUCUUCUUUUCAUAACACUUCUUAGAUAUUAAAUAGUAGUGCAACAAAUCACAUUAUGAGUUUUAUUACCCUUUUUUCUUCCAUAACAUCCACUACUUUUGCUACUAUUAAGCUUCCUGAUAGUAGUCUUACAUCCAUAACCCAUAUUGGUAUUGUUUCAUUAUCUUCAUCUCUCACUCUUCAUAAUGUUCUUUAUGUGUCUUUAUUUCUUUUUAAUCUUAUUUCAAUUAGCAAGCUCACUCAUUCUUUAAAUUGUUUUCUCACUUUCCAUUUUAAUUCAUGUCUUAUCUAGGACUUUACCUCAAGAAAGAUGAUUAACAAGGGUGAAAAAUGCAAUAGAUUAUACUAUUUUGUUUUUUAAUCAUUAUGAUAUUUGCCCACUUGCUAAGCAAACACACUUGCCCUUUCCUAGUAGUUUUAUCAAUACCUAUGCAAUAUUUAAUAUUAUUUAUUGUGACAUUUGGGGCCCCUCAUCAUACAGAGUUUAUUUAGAGUGCAAGAUUUUUUGUAACCAUUGUUGAUUAUUACAAACAUGUGACUUUAGUCUAUAUAAUGUCCCAUAAAUCUAAAACACAUCAUCUUUUACAAUAUUUCAUCAAGCUUGUCACCAAUCAAUUUGAUCAAAAGGUUAAGAAAGUUUGAUCUAAUAACGGGAAAGAAUUUGCUAUGACUAGUUUGUUUCAAGAGAAUGACAUUUUUCAUCAAACUAGUUAUAUGGAUACUCCCUAACAAAAUGGGGUUAUUGAACAUAAACAUCACCAUCUUCUUAAUGUUGCUCAUACUUUACAUUUUCAAGCACACCUUUCUAUCCAAUUUUGGGGUGAUUGUAUCCUGAUUACUACAUAUUUGAUUGAUAAAACCUGAUCAUCACUUCAAUUCGCCCAUACUCUCUAUGUAAAGCUUUUUUUCUAGAAAACCCUCAUAUCCACAUUGAGUUUUUGGCUACCUUUGUUAUGCUUCUACUCAUGUUUUAAAGAAAACAAAAUCUAAUUCACGUGUCAAAUGUUGUGUAUUUAUCAAGUAUCCUUAUGGUAACAAGGGUUGUAAAUUUUAUGACCUCAAUAAUCACACAACCUUUGUUUCACAUGAUGUAAUUUUUCAUGAAAAUAAUUUUUUCGUUUUCUCAUGUGUCUUCUACUCCUCUUCCACAUUUAGUUCUUUCUUUGCCACCACCAGAAUAUUAUUGAUUUUUCUUCCUCAAAUGUGUCACCACCAUCUAAUCCUCCCUCGUCACCUAUGUGUCUCAUAUUUUGUAUUUUUCCUUUUUUUUAUAUGGUAAUUUCUUCUUAUAUAUAUAUAUACACACAUGUAGAACAAUAUAAUAAAUAUACAAAAAAAUUUCCAUUGCAAAUCUAAAGUUUUUAUUACUUUUUUGCUUAGUCUUGAAAGUUUUAUUGUUUAAGGUUUUAUGAACAAGUUGCCUUUAGAUCCUUUUUUUCUCCUAUUUUUUGCUUUAUUUUAUCAUUUAUUGUAUUAUUGUUUGUUUUUUUGUUUUUGGUUUUGUAUUUUUUUUUUCUCUUGAUUGGGAGAUGUGGGAGGCUUUUUAUUAUCUUUCUGUUUGUUCUCUAUGUUUAGUUUUUUCUUAGGAAAACAAGUUAUUAAGCACUUGGGAAUUCUCAUAUCCUUGAAUGUGUUUUUUUUUUCUUUCUAGCAUGCCUUCAUGCAACCUAUAACUUGAUUUUCUUUGUUUAGGUUAGAGUCAUCCUAUUAUUGCUUGUGCUCAUUUGUACCUUAAGCUUAAAUCUGACUCUUAUGAAUUUGUCGUAUAUAUUCUAUUGAAAGUAUGUCUCUUUGGUUGAUCUCAAAGUGGAAGUCUCUUCAAACUCAACAUGAUCAAAAGGAGAGGCUAUGGCUCUACUCAAUGGGUAGAACAAGUCAUUUACCAGGAAAAGUAGUUUGAGUGGAGAGGAUUUGAAAUGUGGAUUAACCUUGCUUGAGAGCUUGAGAGCUUGAGAUGCAAGAGCCGGAUUUUUGUCAAAUUUUUCACAUUCCUCAGGAUAUCGAGCUUAAGCUUAUUGAGGAUAUGAAUGAAGCAUUAGACACUACUCACCUUGGACCCAAAUCUAAUUCAACAUAUGUUGUUAGAAAGCAUUUUAAUAUGGGCCUAUGGCCACCUCUUCCAUUGUUGGUUUAUCAAUUUUUAUAUUAUUUCCAAAUAAACCAAAUUCAUGUUUAUGCCGAUGUAAUUCAAAUUUUGAGGGGUGCAUUCCUUCUUGAUUAUUUGUAGGGGUUUGACAUUGGAUUAGAGGAUCGAUAUCCUCUUCACGUACAUCAUCAAACUUGAUUCUCAUAAGAAAUUUUUUUUCUAUCCUUGGAUCUCAUUUUCUUCGACUUGUAAUUGGUAUCCCUCAUACAAGCAAAGGGAUAAUAGGCACCAAUGUUAUUAUAUGUAGCUUAUGGGUAGGGACAUCAAUGGAGUGGGUUAGAGUUGGGUUACCCAUUUCCUACUCCAACUUGAUUAUUUACAUUUAUUCUCAUUUUGAAACCGAGCAUGGCAAGUAUUAAAAUUUUUCAUACUCUUCCCAUUCAAUUUAUUUUUUAUUAUUUUUAAUUUUUAAUUUUAUUAAAAAAAAUUAAUUAGACCAAAAAUAAAAUUAAUUUAUAAAUAAAUAAAAUUAUAAAUUUUUAUAAUUUAUUUUUUUGAGAUGUAGAUUUUUAUUUUAUACAUAUUAAAAUGAAGAAAAUGAAAAAAUAAUAAUUAAAUUUUCGUAUAUAUAUAAAAUUGGGGCAGGUGAGGUGGAAUAAGGAAAUACACAAACCUACCUCGAACUUGACUAGAAUUUAAAAAACAUUCUCUAAUCUGCCCUUAACCCAAAUGGCGCAAAUUGCGGUAUUACUCGGUGAUGGUUUCAUGAUCAGGAUGAUAUUCAGAAUAACACGUUUUGUAUUUCUAACUUCCAUCACCCCGCAUUUGUUAUGGCACUUGCAGCCACCCAAGGUUUGUAUUUCUAGCAAAAUCUGAGUAGAAGAUGUAUAAAUGGAUGAUCUCCGUAGGACUUCCUCUCUGAGUUGGUUCAUCUUCUAUAUGAUGGGCGUUGCCACCCUUCCCUAAUCCCGCUUCCUCUAACUAGUUUGUUGGCUGUUUUGACUCAAACCACGACUAGAUUUACAUAUUUCUUGAUCCACUUGAGACAAUGUCAUAAUGUGCUGCGCAGUGGCCGAAGAUCAUCUUCCAACAUGGAUUGCUGAUUAGCUCUUUCAAAUAACUUAUCUACUGUUUAAGGUAAUUUUAAUAAAAUAAGAGUUCGAGAAAAUAGUGUUUGGUAAGAUGGCUUCCUUAAGAGCUUUACAUGAUUGUGCCUCAUGCUGAUGCUAUCAAGUUGUAGUCUGAAUGUGUCAUGAAAUCCCGGGUCAUCUUAACAUUAAAAACGGUUGGCUACACAUUGUGAGUUUCAGGGCAAAAUAGUCCUUUGCUGUAAAAUAAUAUAAGUUUUAACCCCAUCGUAAAACUUAUGUUAAGUGAGAUUUCGGUUUUUUUUCUUUUUAAAUUUAAAAUUUAAUUAAAAAUAUAAAAUUAUAAAUUAUUGUUAAAAUUAAAACAUAUAAUUUAAUAAUAAAAAAUUUAUAUAUUUAAACUUAAUGAUUUAAUAUUAUUUCAAUAAAGAUAAAUUGAUAAAUUAACAAUCUUAAAAUAAUAAAGUUUUAUAAUAUAUAAAUAAGAUAUAAAAUUAUAUAAUUUAUUAAUUUAAGAUGUUUAAUUUGUUGUAUUUUUAAGAUAUUAAUUUAUUUGUAUUUUAAAAUAUUUAUCUUUAUUGAAAUAAUAGUAUUAUUUUAAAUUUCCAUAUAUAGAUUUUUCAUUAUUUUAAAACAUAUGUUUAUAAUUUUAUGUAAAAAAAAUACCUUGAAGAUACAUUUCAAAAUUAGUUAAUAAAAUUGAUUAAAAAAAGUCUACUACAAAAUCUAACUUUUAAUAGUUUCAUCAAAGUUACAAAAAAAAUACCUAUUAAACAUUUAUAUAGUAAAAAAAAAAAACGUCUCUCCCUAAUUGUAACAGGUAACACAUGCUAUAUAACUUAAAUUAAUAAAUUAUACAAUUUUAUAUCUUAAAUAUAUAAUAAAUUAUCUUUAUUGAAAUAAUAUUAGACCUUUUAAGUUUAAAUAGAAAUUUUUAUUAUUAUUAAAGUAUAUAUUUUUAACUUAUUUUUAAAGUAAAAAAAAAAAAAGUUAAAUGAAGCCCCAAUUGUUAUUCGAGACUUCAACUUAAUGUUACGAUGGUAAUAAAAGUGCUACUUUUAACAUAAGUUUUGCUGGGGGGCUAAAACUUAUAUUGAAAUGGUUAUUUUGCCCCACAACUCACACAUUGCUUCUGUCUGAGCACAGGUAGUGAUCAGUAGCAAAGGUCUCUGAUAGCUAACGAAAGUUAUAGGCGAAAUUUGUUGGUAAACAGUACUGGGACCAUGACAAUGUUAGGCACACUAGUAAAACAAGAACUGUUUGUAGGGCAAAUGAUCAUUUCCAAUUUCCGAAGUCUUGGCAAAAGUACAUCAGGUAAUAGAAAGGAUCCACAAUGCCCUCAUACAUAGUGAACUUCAACAUAAAGAAAUGUCCUGGAGAAUCAUGUUGCAAGAUGUGUUGAGGGAAUGGUGUAGCAACCAUAUUAUGGAGGACACAGAAAGCAGAGGUAGGCAAUGACUCUGUCACCGGCUUGAACUCCAUCUCAUAAUGAGAAGAUGUAUCCGCAGAAACCCGAAAUGUCAUUUCCCGAAUGCUGUGGGGGAGUCGGUUUAUCAACACAUGAAUGUCCCUGAAUUCCAACCUGAGCCACUAGUUUCCGGAUAUAAGAAAGUCAUCCUCGUUUAGAUGCUUGUAAGCUCCAUGGACAGGGCUUGCUGCAUUGGAUCCAACAUACGCACCAAGGAUUAAAAAAUCAAAUUAUUUCAACAAUCUAUCAUCUGAAAUUUUGCAUAUUGGUUGGGCCUUUCAAAAAAUUUAAGGGUAAUGUUAGGACAUAGAAUAAGUCUCCCGUGUGAAAGUAAUACAUUCUGCACCACUAGGGUAGGUUUGCCUUUGGUAAUAUAUGUAGUCUGCUUUACUUUUUAAAACAUCCAUAUAAAAAUACGAAAUAUUUAAAUAUGAUCCUUUAAUAAGUAAAUUAAUUUUAAAUAUCUUAUGUUCAAUUUUCAUUUUACAGAUUGUUCAAAAUAUAAAAAUCAUUAUAAUAAUUUUUUGAAUGAGUGUUACUUUAUAUGUUUUGUAUAAUAUAAACAUGUAAAUAAAAUUAAAAAAUAAAUUAUAAAUACAUCAUUAUUUCUUUUAUUUUAUUUAAUACAUCCAAACUAAGUAAAUCAAUAUAAAAUAUAUUUUCAAGUUCAGGAUAUUAUCACUGAAUAAUACAAAUUAUGUCAUAUAUAUAUAUAGACAUAUAUUUGUUUUUAAUUAAAAAAAAACUUUAAUAUGUAUUAUUACUUGUUUUAUCUUUUCCUAAAAUUUUUUCCAAUAUUUUUAUCAGUUUUUAUCAAUAAUCUAAGAAAUAAGUCAAAUGGGCCAUUUCAUCUGCAUAGCCCCAAAUAAAUCGAAUUUAUUUCUUAAAAAUUGAUUUUCAUAUAUUUAUUUUUAGUUUUUAAUUUUUUUUUUUCAAGAUUUAAGUUUUAUUUUGUGAUUUUCCUUCUGACAGGUUUGCCUAUCAUAUUUUUCCUUUCAUUGGUCCAAUAAUAAAGGGAAGGGGGAAGGGCAACAAAAUUCUUGGUGAAUGGUUCGAAAAUUAAAAAAUAAAAAAUGCCAAAAUUCAAGGUUGCCAGCAGCUUAACAAAGCAGGCAUGACAUGGAGUUGUAGGCUGUGGAUGCCAAUUUUUAACAUUUUGCAGCAUCUUCUACACUGAUAAUUGAGCAAGCUGUGUUGCAGAGCCGACCUUUGGGCUCCAUGGAUGCCGAUCCAGCCCAACCUCGCAUCCACCUUGAGUGUCUAUUCAUCAAAUGGCCCAGUUUAUAAAUAAAAGUCUUUACUCUAAUUUAAUAUAAUUUUUAGUUAAAAAAUAUUAAGUCACUAAAUUAAUUUAUCAAACAUAUUUAAUAUAUUUAAUAAUUUAAAUUAAAUAAUUAAAUUGAUUCAUCAAGUACUUUCAACAUUCUUAAACUGAGCGACGAGGUGUUUGGCACCAUCACCAUUCGUAUAAUUGAUUUUAAUGCUCAUGUGGGGUUUUGUAACUCCCAAUAUCUUCAUACGCUUAUCACCUGGUGUAAUGGGUACUAUGACAUAUUCAAUGAUAUUUAGGGAGCUUAUCCUCUCUUUUCAUCAAUCUUGCAUCACCCAUCUUCCCCAAAAUUAUAUCAAUAGGUGCUUGGAAAAUACUAACAUCUCCUUAGAGAUGAUUUAUAUAUAUCGCCUAAUGGGGGUUUUUGGUUGAGGCAGAAGGGGCAAAAUGUUUAGUUAAAGAAACUCGUAGAAAGUGCAGUUUGGUAGAGAGAAUUGACUCAUCUUUUAUGGGUCCUAAUAUUUUCAGUUUUGUGAGCAUGAUUCAUUUAACCUAAACUUCAAGUUAGUUAAGGUAUCAAACAAAAUCAUGCAGAGGACCCUGCUGCUUUUUUUGUUUCUGGCUCUCAAACAAAAUUCAAGUUUGAUUUUUCUUCCCCUAAAGAUGAUACCAACAGAAACGGUUGUGUCCUUUCUGUCUGCCAAAAGUUCCAACAAUUUCUGGGAAAUUUGUUUUUCAAAAACUAGAAAACACAACAAUCAACUAAGAGAAGUCGUAAGUGAUGUCCAGCUACCCACCGAAUGACCGACCCUCCCCUUGCAUUUGCACCGUCCGCCUAAUAAGCCAUGCCCCAUCCCAACAAGUGGGGGCCACAUGCCAUCGACGGCUACAACACUGCUCCUCCCAUCACUGUAGAUACUAACCAGAUCUUUAGUUUUAGUUUUCAACAGGUUCCGCAUUUAGUUACCUGAAUUGCUGUGUUUUGGGCACAAAGAUAUAAGCAUGCUUUCCCGGGAAAAAAAGUCGUCACCGAAUUUCAUUUUUCCCCAUUUUUUCGAUUUUCUAUUGAAAAGGCGGUUGCUUCUCAGAUUCUACCACCAACCACCAUAGCUCAUUCCUCUCAUUAACAAACCCUCUAGAUUUUCUUCCUUCCCCGUCUUUUCCACUGUACACUACCAAAAUUAUUUGUAUUUAAGAAGGAAAAAAAAAAAAAAAAGGGAACAAGAUUUCAAAAAAACACAGCUUGUUUUUUAAAUAUCCCGAUUCCCUCCGAGUCGACUCAUCGCUGCAACCAUAGGUAGGUUGUUCCUUCCUCUACUCGAUUUUGCCAAUUCCGAUACGCUUCAUCACUGCGUUCCAAAUAGCUUCAGUCUGCAAACACAGACCAUUUUGCUCCAUGCCCGACAUGUAGUUCCUCACUUCCUUUCUGAUCAUUUCUUGCAUCACAGCCAAGAAUUCGGGGGUGAAGAAAGGUUUCUCCGACAUACCUAAACCCAACUCACAGUUCUGGAUGUUUCGUGGGGAUCCAGGGUUUUGUUGCAGCUGUACAGGCGGUAUCGCCGGUGAUUGGAGAAUCUGGUUUUGGAUUUUAACAUGAUCGGAUCCUGAUAAAUGAUUUGACACUUCGCAAGAAUCGGAUCCAGGGAGAGAGAGACUGAGGGAUGUUGGGGGAUCGUUCGUCGAUGAGGCGGCCUCGAUUUUCUGAGUAGGUAGAACUAUGGGACCGGUUCUCGGCACUGGUCUAUAAACAAGCGAUGAAGCCAUGCCAGGAGCACUGGAAUCACUGAAUUCGGACCCCGAAGGACUACUUGGGCUAAGAUUAUGACCCGAAACCGUUGUGCCCGCACCCACACUAGCCGAUCUCUUAAGAGGCGGUUGUGCAUGCCCAUCGGCGAUCAUGUCCUCCGUUAUAGACGAGCAUUUCCGCUUCAAAGUUGAAUUCCAGUGGUUCUUUAUGGCGUUAUCCGUGCGACCAACGAGGAGACGAGCAAUCGUCGCCCAUUUGUUCCCGAACCUCGCAUGGGCUCUAAUGAUGGUCGCGUCCUCCUCCGGCGUAAAGGCGCGGUGCUCCACCUGCGGAGAGAGCUGGUUACACCAACGCAGCCGGCAAGACUUGCCGGACCGCCCAGGGAUGGAUUUGCUGAUCAAAGACCAGUUCCUAGGGCCGUGCUUCUGCACCAGUCUCUGCAACGCUUCGUCUUCCUCGGGGCUCCAAGGACCCUUGAUCCGAUCUAAAUCUUUCUUGGAAGACGCCAUGGAUUGAGAAGCCUAAAACGCCUACACGAAUUUGAGCCCUUAACUCUUAACAAAGAGAGGAAGAAAGG
This 22451-nucleotide long non-coding RNA is filed under the name Vitis vinifera (wine grape). RNAcentral's name for it is "long non-coding RNA (VVIN_LNC006011)". The record is from RNAcentral. Lineage: Eukaryota; Viridiplantae; Streptophyta; Magnoliopsida; Vitales; Vitaceae.